GACGAACGCUGGCGGCGUGCUUAACACAUGCAAGUCGAACGGUGAACCAGAGCUUGCUCUGGGGAUCAGUGGCGAACGGGUGAGUAACACGUGGGCAACCUGCCCCAGACUCUGGGAUAACCUCGGGAACCGAUGCUAAUACCGGAUACGACCACUUCGGACAUCCGACGGUGGUGGAAAGUUUUUCGGUCUGGGAUGGGCCCGCGGCCUAUCAGCUAGUUGGUGGGGUAAUGGCCUACCAAGGCGACGACGGGUAGCCGGCCUGAGAGGGCGACCGGCCACACUGGAACUGAGACACGGGUCCAGACUCCUACGGGAGGCAGCAGUGGGGAAUAUUGCACAAUGGGCGAAAGCCUGAUGCAGCGACGCCGCG
This 373-nucleotide ribosomal RNA is filed under the name uncultured bacterium. Its description in RNAcentral is "bacterial SSU rRNA". It matches the Rfam family "Bacterial small subunit ribosomal RNA", at positions 28 to 401 of the family's 1533-position model. The record is from RNAcentral.